Molecule: long non-coding RNA, 1286 nt
Filed under: Anser cygnoides (Swan goose)
Lineage: Eukaryota; Metazoa; Chordata; Aves; Anseriformes; Anatidae
Description: lncRNA (ENSACDG00005007096.1)
Source: RNAcentral
UUUUUUUUUUCUUCACCGCGAGGUUUGUUUUUGUUAACACUUGCUCGAUUGAAAUGUUUGAGACACAUGCGCUCUGCCAAAAACCCAGCAUGUCUUCCCAUUCAACCGGAGGCUGCAAAAGCUUCUAAUCUUUACAGGAGUCACCCAGAGGGAAGGCUCAGAAAUACCAGAGCUGAUGUUUGCGAUACUUUCAGGAUUACAAACACGCAGGAAACAGGCCAUCGCCUGUUCUCAUACAGCUGCAAAACAAAACAAAACAAACAAGACAAAACCAAACCAAACAAAACUUAUAGAGCCUUGUCACUUAUGAACCUGUUGUAAACUGCAACAGAAUAAUUAGGUUGCUGGUUCGGUUUCACUGCAAACCCAGGCUGGAUGCUGUGUGCCUUACAUCUCUGUGUGCCUCACAUCUCAGGCUCCGUCGUCCCUCCUCUCAAGUACGGCCACGUAUUCAAAGAGGACAAGCCCCACAUCACUGAGAUUAACGGGGACUGACUCUUCUGACCUUAAUAUGUUGUCAAAAACACCGCCUCCAGGAUCCUUUUAACUCUUCUCUGCAGGUGUAAGGCAUCUCCUAGGCAUUACCAGCGUUUUCAUUUCUUAUUGGCAAUGCAAUCUGCUGGUGAAGGAGGAGAGGGAGCACAGCACCAGGCAGAAGUGGCGCCCGGGCUGGGAGGCAUCCAGCAGGCAGGAGCAGGUGCCGUGGGAGCGUGCAGGCUCUUCUCAGCGUCAGGGUCAUGCGGAGGCUCUCUUCAUGCUGGUACUGAGAGAUGCUGGUGUGGUGAGGGACAACUGGGGGAGCAUUGCCUGGGCCCCUGCAGGACGGACGAACAUGGACAACGGGGGGGUCUGCUGCGGGCAUGGACGUGGUGCUGGGGACCAGCAAAGGCCUGUCCUGCCUUGGUGCUGAUGGAGGUCUCUGGAGCUGAAGCCAGUGAGCAUCCCAGGAUCAUCAGAGGAAGGAUGGCCUUUGGCUCCAGCAUGACGAUGGAAAACUCCUGGGAGCUGCUCUUGAAAUACUCUGAGGAAUGAAACACUGUGCUGCCGAUGUGCAUCUCCCUGCAAUGACCCCAAAAAACCUUUUCAUAUAACCGAGCAGGAAGCCAACACCCAGGGCCACCCUCAGCGCCAAAGGGAAGGGGUCUGAUGGUGAGGCCAUGGGGGCUGGAGACCCCCAGGGCUGAGGUCCCCCCAGCCUUCACCUCCACCUUACCCUGAUGGCUGCUGAGAGAGGGCGGGUGAAAUCUGCCCCCAAGGAUCCCAACAGAGGAAGCAAACAGCCUGGC